CGUCUACGGAGUAGUUCUUAUUACAUUAGCCUCAAACUUUUUAACGUACAUUAUUUAUGGAACACACACCAUGAUUAUGUAGUGUUAACAUACAUCAACAAACACAUUCAUCACCGUGGUAUAUACACUCUCGAGGGUUUCGUUUGGAACCUAGUAGUAGGGCCCAGGCGUGGUCUUCUGGAAGGGACAAAUGCUAACUUGCGGGAUGUUGCAAACUCUAGGUAAGUGCGUAGCGGUCUCGUAGAUACGGCUCACUACUUGCUGCAUUUGCUGUCCCUGCUGUCCCUGCAUUUGUCCCUGUUGUCGAACCUGCUGUUUAACGGCUUUGGAUGCUCCUUUCAAGGUUGGGCAAACGCAAAGUGGCUCUUCCUGGUGGAGCUCGUUGCAGCACUGCUGGAGUAGUGGCGGCCUCUGUUGUGGGCCCUGGGGGUUCUCCAUGUCAUCUUCAAAAUCAAACUCACCAUCGAGGGUCCAGCUUGGACCACUACCGGACUGCAUUGCCUGCUUGUGGAGCCAUUGUUGGCAAGCUUUCAGGUGUUGUGCUUGCUGAAACUCCUUCCUACAUUUUGGAAUCCUAAAUGGGCCGGCUGGGUUUGUGGCAUCUUCAUCGACUUCCACAACCGUCCUGUAGACGGAGGCAUUGGUGAGAAGGAAGAAAAAGGCGAGAGUUGCCGAGACGAGGAAGAGCUUGUUCGCCAUUUGUGUAUGUUUUUAACUUUGUUUGUUAUGAUGAGUUUUGGUUUGAGUAAAGAGUGAAGCUGUUAAGUUAAUUUAUAGGUGAGAAUGGAGAUUUGCAUGGCGAUCACGUGUAAUAAUGCAUGCAUUUGUGUGUGCUGUGAGAGAGAAGCUCUUAGGUGUUUGAAGUGAGUGACAAAUGACGAACAAAAACAGUCGUCCGCAUCUGCAUGCUAUGUGUGAUGUGUAGCUCAUGUCCUGGCGUAACAUCUUAUGAACGAUAUUUUUCAAAAAGAAGCUAACUUCAUAAAAUAAAAAACCUUCAGUAAGUGGGAUGACAGUCUAUAUACUUUGGAGGUAGUGCGGGGGCGGUUGAAAAUAUAUAUUGGGAGCUUAAUGAGAAUUCAGUAAUAGUAUAGAAGAUCUAUUGUAUGGUGAAAAUUAAAUGUGUCUCGUAGACUCGUACAAUAUGUAAUAAAUGCAGUAGAGCCUCUAGUGUAUGGACGAAUGUAUGGGUGCAAAUGCAAAUUAUGCAAUUGUACCCACUAUUUUUUCUAAAAAGAAAUAUUUUUUUUUUGGUAAAAUGUUAAAUUGAAAAGAUAUAUUUUCUAAAACAUUGUUAAAAUCUAACAAAAAUAGGCAAAAUUAACCUAGCAACCAGUAUUUUGUUGGUUUGCCCCCUCUGCUUUCACCAUUUUUUUGUUCUUCUUCUUACAUUUACUUCAAUGAAUGUUCAAAUUUAUUUGAUUUAAAACAUUUACUUCUAUGCUUUCUGCCAUUACGUUCACGCCAAAUAGUGUGUACACCACCAGAGCCGAGCCUGCGGACAGUUUUAUUAAAUUUUAUUUUUUUUGAACAAAGUUCGAUAGUUUUGUUUUGUGAUCGCGUCUUCAACGUUUUAUUAAACUUUUGAAUGAAGCCUUCAUGCUUUAUAGGAGCUCCACUAAAAAAUAAUAUAUAUGUAUAUGUAUUUUUAUUUUUGGUAUAAUAACAUAUAAAUAUUAGCUGUGAAAUAAAUACUGAAUGAAAUUUUGAGUUGACAAAAAUGAUAAAAUAUAUUAUUUAUAAACUUUAUAAAAAUAUUAAUUAUCAGGGCCCCGAAAAUCUCAAAAUCGGCUGGACACCACUGCUUGAAACAUGUAUCACAAAAUGAAGAGAAUGGUUAUGUCCCAACCAUCAUCCACCAAGAGUUGAACAAUAUAUAGUAUUAGGUAUUUAGCAUUAUUAAAGAUAUAGAUGAUCAAUGAUAAAGAAAUUUACUACCUUUGCUAUCAAAGUACUGUUUAUAAGUAAAGGCAACAUCAGUAUAUUUGCAGGAAUUUAGUGGAUACAUGAGAUUGACAGAUGCAUGGUGAUCUAAAAGAGUUUGUUAGUAUUUUUGUUUUUUUAGAAAGGAAGAGUUUCCAAGUACUUUUGCAAAAAAUAUAAAAUAAAAGAGUUUAGAAGUAUUUGACUAUACCAGAUUUCAGUCAUUGAUUGAUCCCAGUGGAUGAUUUUUUAUUAUUGGCCCCGAAUGCUUAUAUUAACACUAGUUGUUUGUCCGCGCGAACGAUGAUAUUUAUUUUAUUGAUGGUGUUAAAUCUUUUAUUAAUAUAGCUUAAAAUAUUAGAUGGUUAACUAAUGUGAUAUCUUUAAAAAAUUUGUUUAUAAGUUUCUUGGUAAAAUGUUUUGGGGUUGAUCAACAUGUUUUUUUCCCUUGUGACCAUCAUGUUUGUUUCGUUUUUUGAUAUACAAUAAUUUUAGAGUAGCUGUUUUUCCAUCCCAUAAUUUCAACCACACAAAUGUGGAUCUGCUUCAUUUUUGUUAUAAAUUUUUUUCUAUUUUAAACUUGUUCAAGUGUAAGGUUAUGUCCACCUCAUUUUUUUUGUCGAUGAAAGGAACAUAUCUGUUCAACUGUGAUGACUUCGGUAGCGUAGGAGGUAUAGUGGAAGUUUUUGUGCACGUUAAUGCCGUGGGUGAAGGUGCUGAGUUCUUUUUGGCUCUGCUGCACACUCUGUUUUAUUGUAUGUGGCUCUGUUCAAAUAUAUGAAAUGAUCCAGUUUGGGGAGGGGGGAAGGUUAUGUCCACCUCCUUCACUCUGGUGUAUUUGAUAAACAGCGACAUAACCACCAAGUUCCCAUAAUGCCAUAACAGCCUCUGUACCCAGUUAAACCUCUAAUCACCUCCAAAGCCAUGGAACUAAUCGAAAUAGGAAGCUUUAACUUAUUUUACAGUAAAGCUUAGAAGAGUCAAACCAUCAAAAUCCAAAAAUAAUUACGAAAUCAGCAGAAGAAAAACUAACAUGCUAAAGUCUUUUGAGUAUCGUUGGCAAAUUUGGGAGGUAAAAUCUACACAAUGCAAGUUUAAGGCCUUUUUGUUUUUCAAUCUUCAUCUGAGAUUCUGAGCCCGACUCUUUGGAACUCGACCCAUCUUGUUUACUAUCUUUGAACCUUUUUUUGGGUCGAAUGAUCCUUUCCUCUUAUCUUCUUCGUCCUCACUAUAUUUGCUUUCAUAAUUCACUUCAUUCUCAUCUUCUUGUGAAGCCUCACCCUCAAAAUCAUUGGUUCUUUUCAAAACCUCGACUUUCAGUGAUGUCUUUCGAUCACAACUGAUCCAAGCAUCUCCUAGGUAGAACUCAUAAGCAAAUCAAAUAAUAAGUAUCUUCUGCACGUUUUAGGCAUUUCUUUAUUACCAAUCUUGAUCGGCUUUUAACCUUCUCUAACUUCAUUGUUCUUUGCCUCGACGCCAUAAUAUUUCCGCAAAACAAUCAUUAUAUCAAGAACCAAUAAAGGUUUAUUGAUCUCCUCAGAUUUGCAGUAGCCACUUACCAUAAAAUUAGAAGAUGUGGCAUCAUGAACAACACCAGAAACUUGAGGAAACCAAAUCUUGUUGACCUGACCUGUCCGGAAAACAAUAAACUGUGAAAGAACAUUUCCUAAAAUUUUAAAGGAAAAGUCUUGCCACCAUUGAAAUACCGCCAACCCAUUAAACUGAUAUAGCAUCUAUAAGAGCACCUGUAACGGGGGUACAUGCAGGGUCCUUAGCGUUUAAUCAUAGGUUAGGAGGAUUAUAAUAAUAGUUGUUUGGUUAAUAGGAGUAAGGAUUGAUACGUUAAUAAGGAUUUUUAGGACUUGAUCCUUAGGGUACGUGGCGUGUUUUGAAUGGAUGGAAGGGUUUACGGUUUGGUUACGCGUAAAACAUUGGUUAUACUCGACCGAAGCAGAAAAAAAAAUAGUCCCGACGAAGAAAGGCGAUUGCUCUCGACGAAGCGAAGGCGAAUCCCGCUACGAAAGACGGCGAUUCCCGCGGCGAAAGACGGCGAUUUGUCUCCGUUGGCUGAACAAGGUAAAUCGCACCCUUCUGAUGUAGAUUAAUCGAUAUAGAUUAGUUUGCAUGUUGAAUCGAUCUCGUUUGAAAUUAGGGUUCGAACAUAAUUUGGGGGUUUGUUGCGUUUGUACUUAACGGUUUGAAAACGAUACUGCUUUCAUCGAUUUCGGGUUCUUCUCGUUUGAAAUUAGGGUUUCAAUUCAGAUUUGGGGCUUUUUGCGUUUGUACUAAUCGGUUUGAAAACGAUUUGCGUUUGUACUAAUCGGUUUGAAAACGAUACUGCUAGCAUCGAUUUGGGGUUCUUCUGGUUUGAAAUUAGGGCUUCAAAAGGAUUUGGGGCUUUUUGAGUUUGUAUUAAUUGGUUCGAAAAAUAUCCUUAGCGUUUCUUUCUUGCACAGUUUUGCUAGCUACAACUCAACUAUCUGUUUGAGUGUAUUGAGUUUAUGUGUUUGUUGUUAAGGAUUACAAGUAGAAGUUCAGUUUUCUGUGAGACAUAAAAAAAAGCUUCCUAAUUUGUUCUCUCGGAUGAGCUGCAAGUUUAUGAUCAUGUGUGUGUGUGUGUUGUUAGGAUUUGUUUAGCUCUGUUCUUAAUUUUUUUUUUCAUUCUCUCUUAUGUUUAGCUCUGUUCUUAAUUUUUUUUUUCUUGCAGGUUAACGAAUAUGGGACAAGAUUAUUCAUACAGCCAGCCUUUCUCAUCAUCAGACUCGAUGGACAUUACCUCCCUUCUUCAAGCAGAAGCUUAGUUGUAUGCGGAUGAAGGUCAGAGUAGCUACAAUAAUCCAGAGCCGGUUCAGUACCCACCUCAACCAGAGGCAGAUGAUGGAAUCCCGAGGCUAUGCUACUGUGGUGGUGAGCCUGUUGUUGCAACAUCCUCCACUCAUAAAGAUCCCGGCAGGAGGUACUUCACAUGCGAGAAUGUGGAUGAUGGAGACUGCCACAUCUGGAAAUGGUGGGAUGUUGCGGUCACAGAGGAGAUGAGCGAGUUGCAGAGACAACUUAGGCUGCUUAAGGAUCAAGGCAAUGCGAGUGAGCAUAAGCUUAUGCUGCUAGAGAAGAGUGUGUUUGAGUUAUCUAACCAGAAAUCAGGAGUUACGCUAAUGAGAGUGAGCAGAAGCUGGUGCUGUCUAUUAGUUUUAAUAGGUUCCGUGUUCUUGUUACUGUGUGGUGAGUAUAUCUCCUUGUGCUUUUCGUAGUUCAUUUUUUAAUAUUCUGCGUGGUGAGUUCGUUGACUAUUUUUUCUCUUUCUUUUCAGGAUUAGCUUCAAACGAGAGUGUCUCAAAGAACCAAUGUCAUUACUAACAAGGUACGCCCACUUGAAUAAAAGCAAUUAGUCAUUUAAUGAAGGUGAAUUGAUUUCUACCGUCGUAACUCCUCGGAUUUGAUCGGUUAUAAAUGUUAGCGUUUAGAAAUAGUGAACUGAAGACUCUAGCUUGCUAGGAUUGUACUAACUAGUCGGAUUUGAUUGGUGAUAAAUGCUAGUUCUUUGCUUCCUAUCUUCCUAACUGCUCAGAUUUUAAUUGCUUUAAUUGAAAAAAAAAAUGUAAAUGGCUUACUUAAGACUCUGUGUUGCUAAUAGAGCGACACAACCAUUCUCUAACCAUGGAUAACACCACUGGUUUUGUUAACCUACUUUAUAGUCAAUCUCCAUUUGAAAUUGAUUCAACACAACCUGCUGCCGAGUCCGGUUCGAAGGAGAGGAGGAAAUGGUCACUGAAAGCGGAUCAAAUCCUCAUUGGGGCUUGGCUUAACACAAGUAAAGAUUAUGUGGUCAGCAAUGAGCAAAAAGCUAGUGCUUUUUGGAAGAGGAUUGUUCAAUACUACAACGCGAGCCCUUAUCUGGCUGGGACUAUACCUAGAGAGCUUGGGCAGUGCAAGCAGAGGUGGGCUAGGAUAAAUGAGCAAGUCUGCAAGUUUGUUGGGAGCUAUGACGCGGCUCUUAGGGCACAGAGAAGUGGUCAAAACGAUGAUGAUGUGAUGAGAGCUGCCCAAGAGUUCUUCUUCAACGAUCACGGAGUCAAGUUCAGCAUGGAACAUGCCUGGAGGGAGCUGAGGCAUGACCAGAAAUGGUGCUCCACCUAUGUGACUAAGGACGGUGGGAGUCAAAAGCGCAAACCAGUCCAGGCGGAGGUUGAUAGACAAGCGGAAGUGGGAGAACCAGAGGAAAGACCAGUCGGGGUCAAGGCAGCUAAAGGUGUUACCAAGAAGAAGAAGAGUGCUAGAGAAGAAGAAUUGUCACAGUUACAGGGCGUGUUGGAAGUUAAAGAAAAACUCGCUAGGCAUAAGUUGCUUGAUCGUUUACUCGGGAAAAAAGAGCCUCUAUCUGAGAUGGAGACAUCUCUUAAGCUCAAACUAAUGUCUGAGAUGCUAUAAACUGAUGUUAACCGUAUGUUAAGUUGUGACUGUUGUUUUGUGUACUUGUUUACUAUUAAACUUCGCUCACUCUUGUCUUUUGUGUUGUUGCAGGGUCAUGUGAACGAAGUCACGGGUGCAUUUGGUGUUGUGAAAGUCUUUUGUUGUUUAGCUCAAGUGAAUCAAGUCACGAGAUUCUAUCUAUGUACUAUAAGUAGUUGUCAUUUGCACGUCUUUAGCUAUGUAUCUCUUUCGCUUUGCUUCCUCUUCAUCAGAACUUGUAUCUUCUUGUUUCAGUACAACAAAUUGCUUCUCUUGUAAUAUUUUCGUUUUAGUACAACAAGUUGCUUCUCUUGCUUGGAUUUCUAUCCAACGAUCUCAAGUUCUGAUUCUAUUUAACUACAACUACAUUAUCUAUAGGUAACACUGGUUCUCCUCUUUUAUAUACCGAGAUUGUGUAGUAUCUAAAUCAUUUGUAGUAUAUUCUUCAGUAACUUGUGUAGUAUAUACUUACUAAACUAGAGAAUUAUAUAAUUCAUUUGAGAAACUUUGAAGUUAAUCUGAUCACUAAACUUGUCAAGUAUAUUUGAGAAAUUUUAGUUCCAAAGUUAAUCUGAUCUCAAGUUUUGUUAAAUCAUUUGUAGUAUAUUUUUUUUGUAACAAAACUUUGGAACUAAAAUAUAGAACUAAAAACGUAUUUUUUUUUUGGAACAAAACUUUGGAAUUAAAAUAUACAACUAAAAACCUAUUUUUAAAGGAAGGAUCCCUAAAAAAUGUCAUCCUCUUCAUCCGAUGAAGUCGAAGAAAGACUGGAUGAAUUAUUCGAUGAAAUCGUCGAAGAUACAUACAACGACAUUAUGGAGGGCCAAACCUAUAAGCAAAGGAAACGUGCUUACAUAGAACGAAACCGUGAAGCCGGACACAACCGUUUAUGGAAUGACUAUUUCAGCGAAGAAGCGACAUUCUCGACACAUUUAUUCAGACGUCGUUUCCGCAUGAGUAAGGAAUUAUUCAUGCGUAUUGUCCAUGCCCUCUCAGAGAACGUUCCUUUCUUUCGACAAAGAAGAGAAGCAACCGGGAGGUUGGGCCUGUCUCCACUACAAAAAUGUAUGGCAGCUGUUCGUCUGCUUGCUUAUGGUUCUGGGGCUGACACGGUAGACGAAUAUCUUCGACUUGGAGAAAGCACGGCACUUUCGUGUCUACACCAUUUCACUGAAGGAAUAAUACUGUUAUUUGGAGAUGAGUAUCUACGAAGACCCACACCAGAGGAUCUUCAACGACUCCUCGAUAUUGGAGAGAAGCGCGGGUUUCCCGGGAUGGUAGGAAGCAUUGACUGUAUGCAUUAGGAGUGGAAGAAUUGCCCAACCGCUUGGAAAGGGCAGUACGCACGUGGAUCAGGAAACCCGACAAUUGUCUUAGAGGCUGUGGCUUCACAAAAUCUUUGGAUAUGGCACACCUUUUUUGGUCCUCCAGGUAUCUUAAACGAUAUUAAUGUCCUCGAUCGGUCUCCUAUUUUUGAUGACAUUUUUCAAGGCCGAGCUCCCAGGUUAGAGUAUGUGGUCAACGGACACAUGUAUAAGUUGACUUACUACCUCACAGACGGUAUAUAUCCCAAAUAGUCAACAUUUAUCCAAUCUAUCUCGCACCCUCAAGGUCCUAAAGCAAAGUUAUUUGCUAGAAUUCAAGAAACAACCCGAAAAGAUGUGAAACGGGCGUUUGGAGUAUUACAAGUUCGAUUUGCGAUUGUCAAAAUCCGGCUCUUUCAAUGGACAAAGAAAAGAUAGGGAAGAUUAUGAGAGCAUGUAUCAUACUACACAAUAUGAUUGUCGAAAAUAAACGAGAUGGAUACAUUCAAUUCGAUAUAUCUGAAUUUCAAGAGGGAGACGUCACUAGAAGUUCACGGUGGAUACCGACAGGCCUACAACUAUUGCUAAUAUGCUCGGCAUUCGGGAUGAUGGAUAAGCGUUUACAUCAACGUUUGAAAAAUGAUUUAAUUGAAAAUAUUUAGAACCAAUUUGUUGAUUGUUGGUUAAUAAAUAUUGUAUCUUUAUCUUUAAUAAUGCAAUAAAUAAAAAUUUUAAUUUCACUUUUAUAAAAAAGUUUAUUAUUUUUAUAUUCCUAAGAACUCCAAAUUGGAGAACAUCAUUGGACUAACAAUUCUGAUUAUGAUCCUUAACUAUUCAAAAAAAAGAAAAUAGUUAAUUAAUCCUAAGGACUCCAUUUGCUGGUACACUAUUGCGGGUGCUCUAAACAAUCCAUCAUCGGCAUUUCCUAGAAAUCAGUUCUGAUCUGAAUCUAUAAGAAAUUACAUUGUAAUAAAGGCUAACUUCCUCUCCAAGUGAUGUUUUACCUUUCAUACGGUUGUGUUGCAGUGGAUAUUAAGUUGGGAAGAAAGUAAGUGUGAGGCCAAAGUGGUUUGUUCCGGCUUGCAAUGUUUGAACUUGUUCACCCUCUUCAAGUCAAUCCUUCCUAAGAUUUGCUGUUAAUUUUGACCCGGCUGUUGCUCCGCGGCGAUAUGGAAACAUCCCUUAUAUAUUAAUUGAGGAACAUUUGAAAAGAUGUAACCUCAAUUUUGUAUUAAUUAAAAGAGGCUCCAAUGCAUAGGUGGCACUCAAUUAGGUAGUCAAUUACAUUCAAUUGAAAAAUAAGUAGGUCCACAUUCGAUUUUUAUAUGUUGUUAGAUACAUAAAUUGGUCAAACUAUAUGAUAUAAUGAUAUGAUAUGAUAUUUUCUUUCCUUAAAUAAAACCUACGGAAUUACCAUAAAUGACUAAUAUAUAUAUGACAAUUAAUGAGUUUAAUAAUAAAGAUUUGAUAACAAUGUAUAUCUCCUCCAUCAUUUUUUGUUUAAUUUUAUAUUAUUAAAAUAAAUUAAACAAUCAAAUUAGCUAUAAAAAUAAAAUUUAGAUUUUUUCGUAUAUGUUAUAUUUUGAAUUUUUAAAAACGACAAUAAAUGACUAAAACUAUUAAAAUUAUUAUGUUAAAAAUUAAUGAUCAAUUGUUUUCUAUUGUGACUGGCACGACAACACUCCAGAUCGAGGUGUGAGAACAGAUGCAUUUGGUGUUACAUCAGUAAAUUCAAGACGGAAGCUGCAAUAUUAUGAUCCUUUCAUUCUUGCUUCUCAGGCCGAUCAGGUUUGUUAUAUCAAGUACCCCCGGGUAAGGAACAGAGAUGAUCCAUGGGUUACUGUUACAAGACUCAACCCGAGAGGCCGAGUUCAGGGAAGUUCUGAGCUGGAAGACCCACUACAACCAAGCACAUCCGGCAACUUAAGUGCAGCAGAAGAUUUAGCUGGAGUUGGCCUUGUAGUCGAUUUAACCGACUUUGGAGAGGAAGCCGUCGUUCACGUAGAGGAUGAACCAGUGAUUGGAGAGUUUCACCAAGAUCCAGAUUCAGAUUCAUCUGGUGAUGAUGACUCGGAAACAGACUACCAUUGAAUAUAGAUAUGUGUUUGUUAAACCAUUAUAAAAUAUAAAUUGAUAGAUAUAUUAUAAUUUAUUUUUAAUUUAUUUGUGGCUUUAAACAAAUUUGAAAUGAUUUAAAAAAACAGGUACUAAAAAACAUGUGCAUAUUUGCUUGGAUCAAAAUUUGGCAGCCUUUAUAAUAAAUAUUUUAAGGCAUUUGACAUACGGAAACUCUUUUCAUCUGCUAUCUCUAAUUCAAUAUUUUUUUUAAAUACUGACUGCAUUACUUUCAUCGCAUGAACAACAGCCAGUGUGUUAUCCAACACUUUUAAGCUUUUACGAAAACAUCAUUUUGGAAGCUACAAAUGCUAAUAUUUUGAGACUCUUGACUCUGUUUUAUUUUAAAUUUUGUCAACAGACGACUCUGUCUUAUCUUAGAGUUUUACAUUUCCCGUUCUGAUGAAAACCAUCAUAUUAAAACUUACACAUAAGUCAAAUUAGUGGUUUCAAAUACCGAGUCCGUAAUAUGUAUUUACUGUGUUCGAACGGUUUAAUAUAUCCAUGGAAUAUAUCGUACUAUCUUAUUCACACAACAUUUAUAUUUCGAAUAAGUCAACACAACUGGUGUGUGACAUAACCGCAUAAAAUAAAAUACAUACACCAUAAAUUAUUCUGUCAUAAUUAAUAACUAGAGAUUGACCCGCACGCCCGUGCGGGUGUUAAUUUUUACUUUCUUAUAAAUCGAUAUUUUAUUUUUAUGAUUAGUAUUAUAUAUUUUAUAUGUGUCAUAAUAUAAUUAAUUGCAUAAGUACUUUUAAAUUUCUAUACAUCAUAAUCGAACCUGAAUCAAAUAGAGUAAUAUGAUUACUUUUGGUUAUUUGGUUAUUUUUAGUUUAAUUUGAAUUCAGCAUACCCGAAUUGAAUCGGUUAAUAUUCUUACUUUUCAUAUAAAUAUCCGUACCGGCGUCAAAUACAUUAGUUUUUAGAUAUUUGUAGGUUUGUAUAUAUCAAGACUGAAUUCAUCUGGACCCGAUUCAAAAUACACAUGAAAAUUUUUUAAUACUGAAAUGAAGUCUAGUUUCAAAACUCAAAAAGCAUGAUAACCCAAAGAAAUAACUCGUAACUGAAUAGUUAUCCGAAUGUCCAUGUCUAACCGAUACAUAAGUAAAUUAAAAAAAACAUUUGUUAACCAUUUUGAAUUCUUAUCACAAAUAGAGUGGUUUCAUUCAAAUAUGUCGAAUUAUUAUAGUUAAUAUGUAAAUAAUCCUGGAAAAAUAUUAUAGUAAAUAUAAUUAAUGAGAUAGUUAAAAGUGAGAAAAUGAAUAUAAAAGAUAAAAUAAAAAAAUUGAAAACAAAUAAGUUUUGUUUUUCUUGUCACUAUUAUAUAUCAUAUAUAUGUCAUCAUAUAAUUAAUCAUAUUUUAUAUGUACCAUAAUAUAAGUAAUCAUAUAACUAAUAGUAUUUUAUAUGUACCAUCAUAUAAAUAAUCACAUAUAUUAUAUUUAUAAACCUAAUAUGAAAUAUAAAAACCAUAAUUUAAGUUGGUGUUUUAAUUAAGUUUUGUAUUGUAUUUUUCUUAUAUAUAGUAAAAAUAUUUUUUUAAAUGGUUAUUGGAAAAUAUUUUAGUAAAUUGUUUUUUAAAUAUAUAUAUAUAUAUAUAUUUUUGAAUCAAUUUUUUAUAUAAAUUAGUUUUAAAUUAUUAUUUUGAUUUGAAUUUUGUAUAGUAAUAAUUAAAAGUGAGAAAAAUGAAUGUAAAAGAUAAAAUAAAAAUUGAAAACAAAUAAUUUUUUUUUUGUACUUCUGUAAUAAAUUAUAUUAACUUAUUUAGUAAAUAUAAUAGAUGAAGGGUUAGAAUUGAUUAACAAUAGAAUAAAAAUCUUUUAAAAAAUCAAUUAAGAUAAGUAAGUAUUAUUUUGUACUGCUAUCCAUGUUUCCAAACAAUUCUCAUUUAUACUACUAUCCAAGUUUCCAAACAACUCUCAAAUGUACUUCAGUUUUAAUAAUAUAGAUGAAGCCAAACUAUUGUUUCAUUCUCCAAAAUAUAAUAAAAAUAAUAACUUAAUCCCGCGCAAGGCGCGGGUCUUAUCCUAGUUAUAAGUUAUAACAUCAGAUCUUUAAAAACUGGUCAAAGAAGAAAGUUUUGAAAAAACCUAAUAAGCGAAUCAUUCCAAGAAUUGAUAUUUGUUUCUUUUUGAAGAACCUGCAUCAAAUUUCAUAAAAUAGUCAGCGUAAGAUGAAAGCAAAACCUGAAAACGAAUCACCGAUCUACAGAGACUUUAGGUACUGCCGCUUCCAAUCAAAAUAAGUGGUAUUAGGGGUUGAGACUGGGCCGACAAAAUCACUAUGUGGAGCCUUCUUAGAUCUGAAGCAAAGCAAAUGGUUACUGUAUAUCAAACCAAUAAAAGAAAGUUGAAGAUGAGAGAUGAGGAACUAAAGAGUUACUGGUGUCUUGAUGCAGCUACGAAGACCUGAUUUAUUAAUAUAUAUAGAUUUUGGCCUAUACUGUUCAGUAGACUACUAUCUCAUUGUGAAUAGAUUGAUUCGUUUGGAACAAAAAAAAAAUUCAAUUCUUUUGAUCUUUUUGGCGUAUCCUUCAGUAUCACUUUAUUAUCAAGUAGCAAGAGUAACAACAACAAAAAAACUUCUCUUUUAUUACGGUCUUCAGAGUACUUCUUAUUACAUUGGCCUCGAUCGAUUUUAAAGUACAUUAUUUAUGGAACACACACCAUCACUGCGUAGUGUUAACAUACAUCAACAACCACACUCUUCGCCGUGGUAUAUACACUCCCGAGGGUUUCGUUUGGAAUCUAGUAAGAGGGCCCAGGCAUGGUCUUCUGGAAAGGACAAAUGCUAACUUGCGGGAUGUUGCAAACUUUAGGUAAGUGCGUAGCAGUCUGGUAGAUACGGCUAAUUACUUGCUGCAGCUGCUGUCCCUGCUGUCCCUGUUGUCCUCCUUGUUGUCGAACCUGUUGUUUAACGGCUUUGGAUGCUCCUUUCAAGGUUGGGCAAACGCAGAGUGGCUCUUCCUGGUGAAGCUCGUUGCAGCACUGCUGGAGCAGCGGAGGCCUCUGCUGUGGGCCCUGGGGGUUCUCCAUGUCGUCAUCAAAAUCGAACUCACCGUCAAGGGUCCAGCUAGGACCACUACCGGACUGCAUUGCCUGCUUGUGGAGCCAUUGUUGGCAAGCUCUUAGGUGUUGUGCUUGCUGAAACUCCUUCCUACAUUUUGGAAUCCUAAAUGGGCCGGCUGGGUUUGUGGCAUCUUCAUCGACUUCCACAACCGUCCUGUAGACGGAGGCAUUGGUGAGAAGGAAGAAAAAGGCGAGAGUUGCCGAGACGAGGAAGAGCUUGUUCGCCAUUUGUGUAUGUUUUUAACUUUGUUUGUUAUGAUGAGUUUUGGUUUGAGUAAAGAGUGAAGCUGUUAAGUUAAUUUAUAGGUGAGAAUGGAGAUUUGCAUGGCGAUCACGUGUAAUAAUGCAUGCAUUUGUGUGUGUGCGCUGUGAGAGAUAAGCUCUUAUGUGUUCGAAGUGAGUGACAAGUCACUAACAAAAACAGUCAUCCGCAUCUGCAUGCUAUGUGUGAAGUGUAGCUCAUGUCCUGGCGUGACAUCUUAUGAACAAUAUUCUUAAAACAGAAUGUACAAACUUAACUUCAAAAAAUUUAAAAAAACCUUCAGUAUGUGGGGUAAGAGUCUAUAUAUACUUUGGAGGUGGUGCGGGGGCGGUUGAAAAUAUAUAUUGGGAGCUUAAUCAGAAUUCAGAAAUAGUAAAGAAGAUCUAUGUCAUGGUGGAAACUAAAUGUGUCUCGUAUAAUAUCUAACUAAGUAGUAACCCGCGUUUUGCGCGGGAUUAGAUAUCUAAUAAUAUGUUGAUUGUAUAUAUUAUGAUUAUGUACAACAUAUAAGGUGUAGCUCAAUCUCUAUAAUAUUAUUUGAGAAGUCACUUUCCUAUGUGUCGCUUCCACAUUAAUUAUCAGGAUGGUUGAUUAUACUGAUACCCUUAAUGAAUUUAAAAUAUUAAAUACUAUUAUUUAUUUAUUUUAUUUAGCUUGCUUUUAAAAAAUUUCCAAAAACAUAUACACAUAAUAAAAAGGAAUUUUUAAUAAAGUUAAAAAACGAAUUGAAAAACGAAAGAUCUCUAUAAUAUAACUAGAGUCGGCCCGCCCGAGUAUACUUUUCUUAUGAUUUAAGUUACUAUUUUUAUAUGAUUUUGUGCUUUGUGUUUUGGGUUUGCAUUUGCAAGAAAUGUGUAUAUAAUGAUUUAUGUCUUUAAAAAAGUUUUAGAUGAGAAAAGAUUAUACGUGGUAAGAUAUAUUUUACUUGUUUACAAUAAUUGUUUCUAUAUUAAAGAGUUAUGGCAUUAAUAUAUUGUGAGGGCUUCAAAUGGACGAUUUCAUAUUCGAUGUCAAAAUGGUUUAUUUUUUUCUAAUAUUAAUUCUUGUAUAGAUUAAGUAAAUAUUUUCUUAUUUAAUCUCAUACUCAUCGAUCUAAAUUGAACGGUUAUGGGAUAUUUUAAAUUUUUUGUGUUACAAUUGAAAUAAAAAGCAAAGAAAAACACAUUGGUUAAAUAUUUAAUUGGUUUAAAGAGAAUCAUGAACAGCGAUCCUUCGGAAAAAUAUUAAUUGUAUGUUUUCUAUCUCCUUUUAGAAUUUUUUUUGUCUUUUUAACUUUCUAUAUUGUUACCUCUGUAUACUUUAUAACAUUUAAUUUCUGCAAUUACUUCUUUAAAUACUUAACAUGCAGAUUUUAAUACUUUACUAUGACAUUUCCAUUUCUUUUUUUUUUUACUACAGUUAAUAGUUCUACAAAUAUAAUCACAGCUACAUCAUUCACAAUUUACAUAUUGUAAAAUAUGUAUAUAACUCUGUCAAAACAAUUUUCGUAUACUUAAAUAACUUCAUCCACUGCCACUUUCAAGCUCUCAGAGUUACAAAUCUGAAUUGAUCAUGGGUCUUAAGAUGGAGAGCAAAGCAAACCUGCAAAUAUCGCAGAAAGUUGUUAUGCCGCAGAGAACCACAUAAACCUGUAUACCCUAGUAAUAUAUUUAUAUAUAUGUUGAUAUAUAUAUAUAUAUAUAUAUAUAUAUGAUUUCAUAAAAAAAAGUUCACAAAAUAGUAAUAUUACAUUUAAAAAAUAUUUUUAAUUAACAUAAAAUAUACUUUUGAAAUAAGAAAAUACUUUAUUUAUAUCUAUAUUUUCUUAGAUGAAAAAUAUAAAUUUGUAUAUAAUGUGAUUUCAUUAAAAAUAUUUACACAGAUAAUCUUGAUAUUAGAAACAUAAAUAAUAUUUCUUUUAAAACAUAAUUUUAAACAAUACAAAAAAAAGUUCAAAGUAAUAGAAUUUUUUUUAUAUAUCCAUCUAUUUUCUUAGAUGACUAGGGGACUAGGUAAUAAUCCGCGCGAGCCUUGCGAGGAAUAUGAUUAUUAGUUUCGUUAUUUUUAAUAAAAAGACAUUAAAUCAGUUUAAUCUGGAUAUUAGUUCGGUAUUAAGUUUUUUUUCGUUUUUAAUCUUCUAAAAUAUAACUAUUAUUUUAAAUUAAUAUUCAUUUUAGUAUAUUCGGUUAAAAUAUUUGAAUUUUGGUUUUUUUUCCGGUAAAAACCAAAAUUAAUAUUAUUUAUUUAUUUUCAUGUUAUAAAUUUUAGAUAGUCGUCAUGUCGAACCAAUAGUUUCUAAACAGAUAAUAGUUUAAGAAAAAGAAAAGAAAAUUAUUAAGACAAAUCAUUUCACUACAAUUUGGUCGGUAGUGAAAGAAGCAUUAAGAAAUAAUAUUUCAACUUUUAAAAAAAUUAGAUACUUCAUUUGUGGUGAAUACUUAGUUACAAGGUAUUCACAUCAAGGUGCACAUAUAUGUGUAUGUAAAAAGUAUAUAAAAAUAGUUGACAAAUAUAUAAAUAUAUUGUUAAUUAAUAUUAAAUGAUAUUUUUUUUUCAUAAUAAUUAUGGGUGGGCGUUCGGAUACCCAUUCGGGCUCAGUUUGGAUCUAUUCGCGUUUCGGGUUUUCGGUUUAAAGAUUUCAGCCCCAUUCGGGUAUUUCUAAAUUUCGGUUCGGAUCCUUGCGGGUUCGGUUCGGAUUCGGAUAACCCAUUUAAAUUAUUUUUAAAAUUUUAAUAUUCAUUUUAUGCUUAAAAUUUCUCAAAAUCUAUAAAACAAAAUAAUAUAUUACAUAGAAUUUGUAUAAUAUAUGUCAAAAUAUCUAAAAUUUACAUAUAAAUUGGUUUGAUUUGAAUAUUUUGAUACAAAAUCAAUUGAUAUUUUAAGUAUUUUGGUGCUUUGAAUAUAUUUUAGCUAUUUUAGACAUUUACUUUUGACUAUUUAUGUAUAUUUUCAAGUUUUUUAGACAACUUAAAAAUAUCUUAUAUAUUUUAGAUGUGUUUAAUAUAUAUAUUAAAUCUAAAAAUAAGUAAUAUAUUUAGGUAUAUAAAUCUAUUUCGGUUAUGUUUGGGUACCCGAGAUAUUUCGGUUCGGGUCGGGUUCGGUUUCGAUUCUUUAGAUACCAAAAUAUUGAACCUGUUCGGAUAUUUAAUCAAUUUUGGUUCGGGUUCGGUACUACUUUUUCAGAUCGGGUUCGGUUCAGUUCUUCGGAUCCGGGUUUUUUGCCCAGCCCUAAUAAUAAUACAUGAAAGAUAAAAUUAAAAUUAAUUUAAAAUAAAAAAGGCUUUGACAUUAUUCAUUUUUUAUAUAUAAAGAAAAUAAAUUUGUAUCCGUAAACAGGGGUGGAUACAGAUCAAAUAUCUGGGUAUUUGGAAGCAUUCGUGUCGAUUCGAUCUUUAGCCACCUAGAUAUUUAGUGACUCGGAUAACCGAAAUGUUUUAGAAUUUUUAAAAAUAUAAUAAAUUUAAUUCAUAAAAAAUAUUGUAAAACUGAUAUAAAGUAUAAUAUAUAUAACGUAUAUAUAUAAUUUUUUACAUAUAUGUAUAUAUAGAUAUGCAUAUAACAUAUCGAACUAGAUAUAUGUUCCUAAAAAUAUUGGUAUUUGUGAUUUGCUUCUUUUUUGGAUAUUGUAUUUUAGUAUUUGAUUUGUUUCGUAGUGUUACAGAUAUCCAGAUUUUUUGGUUCAAAUCAAAACAUAUAACGAAUCAAAUCAAAAUUUAUGAAUAUUUUGCUCAAUUUUAUCCGUAAACAAUAAAAAUAAUAUAUAUAUAGUUUAGCUUUUGAUUCGUUAUCUAUUUUUAUUCAAACAAAAAAAUCCAGAGUUUUAUUGAAACUAUGUAUGUGAGUUUUAUAUUAAAAAAAUCGCAAAAUACAUAGUGUGAAUACAUUUAUGAAUAUAAUGUGAACGCGUUAACAUACUUAUUAUCAAAUCAUUGUAAGACUGUCACGUGUCUAGUGUGGAUACAUUUAUUGCAAUGCUUUUUUUUUAAUAUAUAAGGGAUAAAUGCACUAGUGCCUCUUGUGUAACUGUAACCAGGGACGAAUGUGAUGCAGCUCAAUCUCUGAUCGCACACAAUCAACACGAGACUGCCAAGGUUCACGACUCUCUUCCAUAUAGGAAUUUCCUUUUAUAUUAAAGUCGGUUUUAACUUUCCUUUUUAGGUGUUUUCGUUUUCCUUUUAGAAAGAGGAGUUAACUAAUCCUCCUAUAGGUUUAUGUUUUUCGUUUCUAGUAUUUAAAGGGUCCUAAUCAAGCUUGUAAGGUCACGAUUGGUUAAUAUUGAAUACAUCUUUAGAGUUUUUAAAAAGCUUUAACAAGCGCUGCGAAGAGUAUUCGCGUCCUAUUAUCCUUGUGUCCGAGUUACCUUCAAGAACAUGUUACCAAUCUAGUGAUCAAACCCUUGAUCCCUAGGUUUCCUAGCUUCCGCUCUCCAUCAGAAUAUAUAGGUGCACUUGUAGUCUUGUACCCACUAUUUUUUCUAAAAAGAAAUAUUUUCUAAAAAAAUGUUAAAAUCUAACAAAAAUGGGCAAAACUAACCUAGCAACCAGUAUUUUGUUGGUUUGCCUCCUCUGCUUUCACCAUUUUAUUUGUUCUUCUCUUUACAUUUACUUCAAUCAAUGUUAAAUUUAUUUGAUUUAAAAGAAUUUAUAAAAUGGAUGCAACACUAACUAGGCCUAGUAAAAUAAUCAUGUUGAAUUUUCGAAGGGCAUGCUGAUGUUGUUCUCUAUGCUUUCCUCCAUUACGUUUACGCCAAAUAGUGUACACCACUAGAGUCGGGCAUGUAGACAGUAUUAUAAAAAAAAUUGAAUGGAACACCCACUUUACAAGAGCCCUACUACAAAAAUUGUAUAUAUGUAUUUAUAUUUUUGAUAUAAUAACAUAGAUAUAUUAACUGUAAAAUAUUGAUAAAAAAUUUAGUUGAUAAAAAUAUAUUAAAUGAUCUAUACUAUUAUUUGCGAAGUAAUUUUUAGCAACGAAACUCUCACGUUGAAAGUUAGAGUUGUUAAUAUCUAUAUUACUCUUAAUGAAUUUUAUGUAUAUAUAUUAAUUAUAUAAUCAAAAACGAAUUUUGAUUAAUAAUGUCUUAUAUAUUAAAAGAGAAGUCACAACCUUGAUUCAUGUGUGAUUUUUUUAAAAAUGGACUAUCACUAGAAAGAAGUUAUGUUUCAUUUAUUUCUUAGUAACAUUUUGCUAUAAUUAAUUAAUCACAUAAUAAUAAUCGACUAUUAUAACAACUUUUUCCUAUAAAGCCGGCUCCGUUUAUGAAAACAUUUUAACCGAUAAAUCACCUAAUAUAUGUCGAUUUGGAGCUGUGCUUUACGCUCUUGUAUGCCCUAAACCUCCACCCACUGCGACUCCUUAGCAAGUUAAACUCUUUAAAGAAAUAACCUGUCCUUCAGUACUGCGUAAGAGAUCUUCUAUCAAAAGAAAAAUUGUUAGCGAAGCUCAGAAAACGUUUUGUAUCUCUCAUGCUAAUCAGUAUGUUGAAGCUGGAACUUACUUGCGUGUGCACGUUUAACCAAAACGUUCCCCAAGGUACACUGUUAGAAAACUGUUUGAAAAUUGGAAAGCUUUGGUGAUAAUAUUCACUGCACACAUGAUGGAUUGUAUCAGGUAUUAUGAAAUUGACUGGAAGUCGCGGAUUAUUGCUGUGACUGACUCUUCUUAUGUCGUUUUGGAUAAACUUGCCGGGACUACGGUACUUUUAUUCAUCCAUUGCACUAUCUCUUCUCAAUGUUCUUGACCACUGUAGUUUCACUAGAGAUCUUUAAAGAACUUUCUCUUGUGAAUAUUGUUAGUCUCAGUUUUAUACAUUUUGGGAUUGUACCAGAAUGUAUUUUUGUGUUCUAUUUCUUGGUAAUGAGGAUCGAAAAACAAUUCAUUCGAUCUUAAAACUUUAGAUACUAAAAAGCCAGGGUUCUCAGUGAUUCAGUGUGCUGACCCACAUGACCACAAUAAUUCAGUUUCUCAGGUUGGGGAAACCACAGAUAAUAUCGAAGAGAGCUGUGCGACAUUUUCCUUAUGUGCAUUAGAUUCCGCAGAACCACUGAAACAACACAUCAGAUUGAUAACUGCACAAAAGGCUGUACUUUCCCUUUUAAAACUUUUCUGCUUCAUACUUUUGCAGAUUUUUUUACUAAAAUUUGUAGAUUUAACUUCUUGAAAUGACCAGGUCGCAUUGCUUUUUUACUUUCUCUGUAGUAUAAUCUUUGCUAGGACAAAAGAGUAUUGAUCGGUCUUCCUCACAGAAAUACGAGUGAGUUUGCUUUGCUUCUAUUUCGUUUGACUGGAAAAUCAAGAAGACAUGGUGAAAUAUUUCAUUAUUUUCUAUAUGUUUUUACUUCUUUUCAAGAAUAAGGAGGUGAGGAAACUUCGUCGUGCUGUUGAGUCUUGAUACGGCCGUUGUAGUUCGAACUCUAACGGUCUAACCUAUGAUAAGUGGAAUAAAUCCUUGAUUUGUUUAUAGUUAUGAGUUUGGUUUUGCUGUGUACUUGGUCAUUUCAUAGCUCAGACCCAACAUAUAUACCCUCUCAUCCGACCACCAAAUAAUAUCCCAUCCAACCCAACACCUACAAUACAAUAUUAAGCUUCUUGAAUUAAGUCCUACUUAUUGAGUAACUAGCCUCUCUAUUUUGACUUGGGGUGCAUUGAACAACUCUGAUUAGUUAUUUCUUCAAAAUGAUUCUCAAUAUUUGUCUAUUGUGUAAUAUUUUAACUCGGUGUUUCUUAUAUUUUUAAAUUAAAAUAAAUUUAAAAAUAAAAUUUAUUAAUAUUGUAGAUUUUAUUAUUUUACCAAGUUUUAAUAGAAAUUUUAUUUAAUUAAGCAUUAUUAUUAAAAUUAAAAAUAAUUUUGCUUAUUUUAAAAUAUAUUUAAGAAUAUAUAUAGUUCUAUAUUAAAAAUAAUAAUCUUCGCUAAAAUUUUAUCUAUUUAUUUUGGUUAAAUAUAUUAAAUCAACCUUUUUUUUUGAAUUAAAUCAACCUUUAUAAAACUAAUAAAAUGAUAUACAAUUGUAUAAUUAUCAAAAAUAAAACUAAACAAUAUUUAUAAAGAAAACUUAGAUAUUAUAAAAGAAACUAAUGAUAUUACGAUUAAAUUUUGCUUAAAAUAAUAUAGAACGUUUUAAAAAAAUUAGUAAUAAAAAUUGUAUAAUUAUAAAAAUAGAAUAAAUCAUCUUUAGAAAUUUAGAAAAUCAUAUCUGAAUAUAUUUAUUUUAACAAUGAUGUAUGAAUUAUUACCAUAUUUUGAUAUACGAGUUAUUAUUAUAUUCUAAAAAUUUCAAUAUUUUAAUACAUUAGUAAUACGUUAAAUAUUUUAAUAUUAUAAUAUAUAUCACGAAUGUUGCAAAAAAAAUGUUUACGUAAUGGAAAUAAAUACCCGCGCUGUUGCGCGGGUCAAGAUCUAGUUAACUUGUUAAAACAAUAAGAUAAUUCUUAUAUAUUAUGUUGUUAUCUUAAAACAUAUGUUUCAAUUAUAAAUUUUAAAAAUAAAAUAUAAAACAAAGUUAGAGUGGUUAAUAUCUAUAUUACCCUUAAUGAAUUUUAUGUAUAUAUAUUAAUUAUAUAAUCAAAAACGAAUUUUGAUUAAUAAUAUUAACUUUUUAAAACAAUAAGAUAAUUCUUAUAUAUUGUGUUGUUAUCUUAAAACAUAUUCUUAUAUAUAUAUGUUUUAUUUUAAAAAAUAUAUAAAACAAUUAAUAAAUUUUAAUUAAACAUAUAUAUUUAAUUAACUUUGUUAUAUAUAUUUAUGUUUUAUUUAAUUUUUUGAAAACAUAAAUAAUAAGUUAUUAUGCUGAUUUUGAAUUAAAAAAAAUAAACUAAUAAAUAGUUGUAAAACGAUUAAGCCUGCAUAUGCGGGCAAGACACUUAGUUUUGUUAUUAUUAUUGUAGUUUAGAUAUAAAUAAGUAAUAUACUACAAAAUUAUGUUUUUGUAAACAAAAUUUUAUUUAUAAAUUUUACAAAAAAAUUAAAUAAUUAAUAAAUAUUUUUUCGAAUAAAGUCGCGGAAAUCGUUUUUUUAAAAGAAAUCUUAAGACCCACCACUCCGUGAAAGGAUGCAACUAACAAAGAGGGAGGGUCAGCUGACCCCACAAAAUAAUUAUUAAACAUUAAAGAUAAAUUUAAUUAUACAACUAAAAUAUUUAUACAUUUUUAUCUUUAAAACUUAAGAUAUGUUAGUUUUAAUCUCAUUUUUUUAUAGUUAAAAAAAAUUAUAACGCUGAUAUAAGAAAAAAAAAAUUCUGAUCUGGUAUAAAAUAUUUCGGGCUCCGGCGGACUGCAUGAAACAUGUAUUGCAAUGUAAAGAGAAUGGUAAUGUCCCAACCAUCAUCCACCAAGAAGAGUUGAACAAUAUAUAGUAUCCCAGCGGUUAGAGUAUUUAGCAUUUAUUAAAAGUUAUAGAUGAUCAAUGGUACAGAAAUUUACUACCUUUGCUAUCAAAGUACUGUUUAUAAGUAAAGGCAACAUCAGUAAUUAAUAUUUGCAGGAAUUUACAGAUGCAUGGUGAUCAAAAAGAGUUUCGAAGUAUCUGAUCAUACCAGAUUAAUUUGAGUCAUUGGUUGAUCCCAGUGGAUAAUCUUUUAUUAUUGGCCUCGAAGGCUUUAAUUAACAUUUAGUCUAUUCUGUUCAUUGGACUACUUGUGAAUAGAUUAAUUGUUCUGUUCUUUUUGGCGCAUCCUUAAUUAUCACUUUUUAUGAAGUAGCAAGAGUAACAAAAAUUAAAAAACACCUCUUUUAUUACGGUCUACGAGUAGUUCUUAUUACAUUAGCCGCGAUUUUAAAGUACAUUAUUUAUGGAACACAUACCAUGGCUGCGUAGUGUUAACAUACAUCAACAACCACACCCAUCAUCGUGGUAUAUACACUCAGAGGGUUUCGUUUUGAAUCUAGUAGGAGGGGCCAGGCAUGGUCUUCUGGAAGGGACAAACGCUAACUUGCGGGAUGUUGCAAACUUUAGGUAAGUGAGUAGCGGUCUGGUAGAUUCGGCUAAUUACAUGCUGCAUCUGCUGUCCCUGCAUUUGUCCCUGUUGUCGAACCUGCUGUUUAACGGCUUUGGAUGCUCCUUUCAAGGUUGGGCAAACGCAAAGUGGCUCUUCCUGGUGGAGCUCGUUGCAGCACUGCUGGAGUAGUGGCGGCCUCUGUUGUGGGCCCUGGGGGUUCUCCAUGUCAUCUUCAAAAUCAAACUCACCAUCGAGGGUCCAGCUAGGACCACUACCGGACUGCAUUGCCUGCUUGUGGAGCCAUUGUUGGCAAGCUUUCAG
This 22357-nucleotide long non-coding RNA is filed under the name Brassica napus (rape). Its description in RNAcentral is "long non-coding RNA (BNAP_LNC008546)". The record is from RNAcentral. Lineage: Eukaryota; Viridiplantae; Streptophyta; Magnoliopsida; Brassicales; Brassicaceae.